UACGGGACUCACUCCAGGCUCCGUAAUUCGAUUGAGUACAACCUAAAUCCUUUAACGAGGACCAAUUGGAGGGCAAGUCUGGUGCCAGCAGCCGCGGUAACUCCAGCUCCAAAUGCGUAUAUUAAAGUUGCUGCAGUUAAAAAGCUCGUAGUUGGAUCUGGGUCGCGCGUUCUCAUGUCGUUUCCUGAUUCUGAUUUCGGUCAGUUUCAGGCGAUGGUAAAGUGGUCGUGCAGCCUUUCAGCCGUGUCUGCGUAAGCAGGUGUUGGCUGGCUGGUGAGCUUGCUUCCUGGUCAGUUGACAUGUUUCCUGAUGCCUUUAAACGGGUGUCGGGGGCGUACGGCACUUUUACUUUGAACAAAUUUGAGUGCUCAAAGCAGGCCGAUGUGCCUGAAGAGUCUUGCAUGGAAUAAUGGAAUAGGACUUCGGUUCUAUAUUGUUGGUUUCCGGAUCCGAAGUAAUGGUUAAGAGGAACAGACGGGGGCAUUUGUAUGGCGGCGUGAGAGGUGAAAUUCUAUGAUCGUCGCCAGACAAACUACAGCGAAAGCAUUUGCCAAGAAUGUUUUCAUUGAUCAGGAGCGAAAGUCUGAGGUUCGAAGACGAUCAGAUACCGUCCUAGUUCUGACCAUAAACGAUGCCAACUGACGAUCCGCGGCGGUUCUUUAAUUGGCCCCGCGGGCACUCCCCGGGAAACCCUUAAGUCUUUGGGCUCCGGGGGAAGUAUGGUUGCAAAGCUGAAACUUAAAGGAAUUGACGGAAGGGCACCACCAGGAGUGGAGCCUGCGGCUUAAUUCGAGUCAACACGGGAAAACUCACCCGGCCCGGACACUGUGAGGUUUGACAGAUUGAUAGCUCUUUCUUGAUUCGGUGGUUGGUGGUGCAUGGCCGUUCUUAGUUGGUGGAGCGAUUUGUCUGGUUAAUUCCGAUAACGAACGAGACUUUGUCCUACUAAUUAGUUUGCCUAUCCUCUGUGCUCGUGCAGA
This 980-nucleotide ribosomal RNA is filed under the name Diplostomum spathaceum. RNAcentral's name for it is "SSU rRNA". It matches the Rfam family "Eukaryotic small subunit ribosomal RNA", at positions 484 to 1385 of the family's 1831-position model. The record is from RNAcentral. Lineage: Eukaryota; Metazoa; Platyhelminthes; Trematoda; Diplostomida; Diplostomidae.